This is a non-coding RNA of Chiloscyllium plagiosum (whitespotted bambooshark), 854 nucleotides long. The record is from RefSeq and is a predicted model, not a curated record. NCBI's taxonomy places the organism in Eukaryota, Metazoa, Chordata, Chondrichthyes, Orectolobiformes, Hemiscylliidae.
GCAGCUGUGGCUUACGUGAGCGGUGGAAUGCUAAGGGCAAAAAAGGGAGACAGGAUGCAAUUUUCUUUGAAUUCAAAUGAAGCAACUUUGCAGCUUUGAUGAAUGGAAUCUUUUUUUGAGAUGCUGGGGGCCCCGCCUAUUGGCUACAGAGACAGGAAGACACCCGUGCUUCUUCUUUCAGGCAAGGCCACCAAACUACAAGCCAAUCAGGUACCCAAGAAUUGCCCAUGGCCAGAUAACAGGACAAGAGCAGAAAGUAGUUGUUGAAGAGUUCAGAAGAAGAGCGUUAUUGGACUCGAAAUGUUAACUCUGCUUCUCUCCCCGCAGCUCCUACUGAAUUUUCUGAGCUUAUUCAGCACUUUCUGUUUUCAUUUUAGAAUUUGAGCAUCCACUUUUGUGCAAGUGUUAAGGAUAUGGUUAAGUGUAGUGAUGAUCUGGAGGCUAUGAGGAAGGUUUACCCUUCCACCUCAUAAAUACACGUUCAGCUCCAAAAUGGCGCUGCAGCAGUGUCAUGUAACGAUUACCAGCAUGAUCAGUCUACCCUCCAUACUUGUGUGAGUAUUCUUUAAACACAUGUCAAUGCUUCAAACAAAAACACAUCCGGCCUCUCUGGGACCAGAUAAGUGCACACACACCUCUGAUGCUGUUUUGGAGCCAAAACAGCACUUGAAGAACAUCAAACAAGAGAUAUUAGGAGCCAGAUUUUGUGGUUACCAAUUCAGAUGAAAGUACAUGCAGCACUGAUGCCUCACAGCACCAGAGCCGUAGAUCCGAGUCCAGCUUUGGGUGAUUUUGUGGAGUUUGCAUGUUCUCCCUGUAUCUACAUGGAUUUCCGCCGGGUGCUCCGGUUUCCU